CAGUAGCCACGGUAAUACCGAGGUCCCGAGCGCUGUUCGGAUUCACUGGGCGUAAAGGGUGUGUAGGAGGCUUGGUAAGUCAGGUGUGAAGUCCCGCAGCUCAACUGCGGAACUGCAUUCGAUACUGCCGAGCUAGAGGAUCGGAGGGGGAAGCGGAAUUCUUGGUGUAGCGGUGAAAUGCGUAGAUAUCAAGAGGAACACCGGUGGCGAAGGCGGCUACCUGGACUGACACUGACACUGAGGCGCGAAAGCGUGGGGAGCAAACAGGAUUAGAUACCCCCGUAGUCCCUGUCUCUUAUAC
Molecule: ribosomal RNA, 301 nt
Filed under: uncultured bacterium
Lineage: Bacteria
Description: partial 16S ribosomal RNA
Rfam family: Bacterial small subunit ribosomal RNA
Source: RNAcentral